Long non-coding RNA from Camelus dromedarius (Arabian camel), 5726 nucleotides. RefSeq lists it as uncharacterized. NCBI's taxonomy places the organism in Eukaryota, Metazoa, Chordata, Mammalia, Artiodactyla, Camelidae. The transcript has 3 exons. The record is from RefSeq and is a predicted model, not a curated record.
GGCCCCGCGGCGGCCGGCGGCCUGUCUGCAGCCUGGGCUCCGCCGGCCUCCUUCCUCAUUCUGGGGAAGGGGUGGGUCCCGAGCUCCCGGCCUCUGCCUCUGGCCGGGGCCCACCCUGCUCCCCCUCCUCUGGGCCAAUUAGAAGCAGUCAUCGGGACAUCAAUAAUGACCUUUUGUUUUUUUGAACAGUCAAGGCCAAGCAGCACCCACUGUCUUCACUGGCUCUGUGCAGGGAGUCCCACACACAGCACCCAGGGCUCCUCGUGGUCCUGGCUGCACAGCCACUCGGCCACCUCCCCAGGGGGCCUUCUCCCACCCGAGGAGCAGGCAGCUCUGGGACUCCUGCAAAUAUUUACCAAGCGCCUACUGUGUGCCUGGCAUUCUGGGCACAGCGGGGAACAAGAGGACAAAAUCCUCAAACCCCCUGCCUAACAUUCUAGACAGAUAAGGAGACACAUUGGACACACACGUCUGAGGCCCUCAGAAGGCAACACAUCCUGAGAGGAAAACAAAGCCGGGAAGGUGGACGGGAGACGAGAGGGCGCAUUUGUGGCUUGAAACAGAGGGUCCAGACGGCAUUUGGGACCAGAAGUCGGACAAGCAACCCACGCAUAAGGGGACCCUGGGAGCCGAACCCGCUCCCCCACAAGGUCAGGAGGCCACCCUGCCCUGCCCCUCACCCUCAGGACCCUAGCCAUAGGAGGGGACACACAGAGUGAACUCGUGUCUGCUUCCCAGACUGACAGAAUAGCCCCCGCCCAGCAGAUCUUUGCUGUGUUUGGGUGCAGAGCUCUCUUUGAAGGCUCUGGAAAGUUCUCGAAGAUUCCAGGACACCCCUCCCCUCAGAAAUACACAGAGGCCUCUGGACCCCUCACAGAUGGCAUUAGUGAGGCUCAGAGAGGGUGCAUGCGGUGCCUGGGGUCACACAGCUGCCACAGGCUCCCCUCCCCCACGCCCAGCCAACACCAAUGCGGUUUUUCUCUGCUGUUGAUUCAUAACGAACGGCAGAUGGGAAGUUCCGUAGGGGCCCUGCUGGGUCACUGGGGCCGGCACCACUGCCUGCCCACCCACAUCCCGCCUCCCCCACCGGAUGGCUGUGAGGAGGGUGCUCGCUGGGACCAGAGGCUUGGGUGGCUUCCCACCCUGGGGCAGGUGAUGAAAAGCAGAAAUAGGUCUGGGCCAGGCAGAGCUGGGCGGAUGGCAGCAGAACAGAGCUCACCAACUUGGCAAAACCAGGAGGCCGGGCUGAGUCACAGACUGGAGAGCGGAUGGCAGAGCGAGGCCCUGGAGAGCCCAGGGCCACCCGCUGUCCAUCCAUUUCCCGACUGACACCUGGCCCCCAGCGUGUCACACAGGGCCAGGGCGGCAGGCUCUGGUCUAAUAGCUUCCAUGGCUCCCACUGACCUCAGGGGAAAAAAAAAAAACAAUCCAGCACCUUGAUUGCCCCUCCUCCAGGGCCUGGCCUCUGUGAAUUUCUCCAGCCUCACAGCAAACUCCUUUCCAGUUUCCGGACAAGCGAGCUGCUUCCUCUCCACGUAACAGGUGCCAUCCAGGACAUCUGUCGCUUACUAGUUCAUUCAGGAAUAACAGGGUGAGCGUGUGUGUGCAUUUAAACACACACACACACACACACACACAGAAAACGCGUAAAACGUGAACACACAACCUAAUACGUUCUUGUGAAACCAGCACCCACGAGCUGUCCACCCAGGCCGAGACCAAGGGCAUCAUCAGUCUUGCCCUUUCCCACAGGGCCCCCCACCCUCCCGCCUCUGCUGGGCAGUCAGCACUGCUCUGGCCUCUAUGGUAUUUCUGUGUUUGGGGAGUACUUUUUGGCAACAAGAUUUAUUUUGUUUUUCAUUUGUUCAAUUUACGUGGCUUGGUACACGCUUCCUUUGUUGUACGGUUCUGAGUUUUCACAAAUGCACAGUCCUGUAAAUUCCGGCUGGAACAGUUGACAGAGGUGGUUCUGCCACCUGAAGAAGGCACUCCGUGGUAGCCAGACGCUCACCCCAGCCCUCACCUCUGGAAACUACUGGCCUGCUCUUCACUGCUGUGGUUUUGGGGACCUUUCUGAGAAUGUCAUAUGAAUGGAAUCAUACAUUAUGUAGCUUUUGAGACUGGCUCCCUUCACGUUUAUUUCAGCCAUUCUAAGAUGCACGGAAUGGUACCUCGCUGUGCAGUUAAUCUACGUCUCUCUGGUCAACUAAUGAUGCUGAGUAUCUUUGCCAUCCAUGUCUCUUCUUUGGGGAAGUGUUUGUUCAAAUAUUUUGCCGUUUCUUUCAGUGCAUUUGUUUUCUUUUUUCUUUUUGUCACAUUUCUUUAGUUAUAUUUAUUAUUUAUUUUUUAGUUGAAGUAUAGUCAGUUUACAAUGUUGUGUCAGUUUCUGGUCUGCAAAAUACUGUUUCAGUCUUCCGUCUACGUGCAUAUAUUCCUUCUCAGAUUCUUUUUCAUUGUAGGUGACUACAAGAUACUGAAUAUUGUUUCCUGUGCUAUACAGUAGAAACUUGUUGUUUGUCUAUAUAUAGUAGUAUCUGCAAAUCUUGAACUCCCAAUUUAUCCAUUCCCACCCUCUUUCCCCUCUGGUAACUGUAAGUUUGUUCUCUAUGUCUGUGUGUCUGUUUCUAUUUUGUAAAUAAGUUCAUUUUGUGUCUUUUAUUUUUUAGAUUUCACAUAUAAGUGAUAGCAUAUGGUAUUUUUCUGUCUCUGUCUGGCUUACUUCACUUAGUAUGACGAUCUCCAGGUCCAUCCAUGUUGCAGCAAAUGGCAUUAUUUCAUUCUUUUUUAGGGCUGAGUAAUAUUCCACUGUAUAAAUAUACCACAACUUCUUUAUCCAGUCGUCUGCUGAUGGACGUUUAGGUUGCUUCCAUGUCUUGGCUGUUGGAAAUAGUGCUGCUGUGACCACUGAGAUACCCAGUUGUUCCGGCAUCAUCUGUUAAAAAGACUGAACUUUCUCUGUUGAACUCCCUUUGUACCUUUGCCAAAAAUCAUUUCGCCGUAUUGUGUGAGUCUGGUUGAUGAUGGGGCUUAGAUCCCUCUUCUUGCUAAUAGUCUGUCUGCUCAUUCUACCGAUUACCGACUGUAGCAGCUCUGAAGUGUAAUUGUGGAUUUAUCUGUUUCUCCGUUUAGUCGCCUCAUUUUGCUUCACCUAUUUUGAGCAGACACAUUAGGAUUCUUAUGUCCUCUUGGUGAACUGAUUUCUCUUAUGACCCUCCUAUGUAAUGUGCCUCCAGCCUUCCUUGCUUUUCUUUAUAAAUUUACAACCGGAUUAAACAACCCUAAAAGUCAUGUUCAGUUUCUGCCAGUUUUGAACACUGUGAAUAUGCAGUUGCACAAGACAAUUUCUGGUCUUUCUGGUUUCUACCUAUUGCUCAGUGUUUUGUCUGUGUCAUAAAUCAGAUUGUUGCAUGCGGUUGAAAUUCACUAAUUCCCACUGCCCUACACUAUUCCACUGGGUGACUGUCCCACCACCCAUAUGGGCAUUCUAAUUCUGUUUGUUUAAACUGAGACAGCGUUGGUACAUAGCAUACGAGUUUCAGCUGUAGGACAUAAUGGUUCUCUGUUUGUCUCUGUUGUGAAAUGAGCGCCUCAGUGAGCCUCGUUAACACACAUGAGCACACACGGCGAUCCUUUUUCCCUUGGGAUGAGAGCUUUUGCGAUCUACCCUCUCAGCAGCUUUCAAACGUGCAACACAGUGCUCUGAACUGUCGUCACCAUGCUGUGUCAUGCGUCUGUUCUACAGUUGACGGGCCAUUGGUUCCAUCUCAGUUUGGGACUGUAACAAGCAGGGUGGCUGUGCACAUUUGGUCUGUGCCUUUUUGGAGACCACACGGCUGAGCGUCUGUAAAUAAACAGCCAGUUGUGGAGCUGCCGGGUUACAAGCAUUUCCCAGCUAUUAACGCUCUUCUGCCAAAGCGCAUGUGCUGGUUUACACUCCCCCACUGGUUCAGGUGCGUGUCAUAGACCUAAAUGCAUUCAAUCCAGAAGUCUCUCCUUUAUUCAUAAAGGACGAUUUCCUUGCUGUUUCUUUGAUACUAAAAUGUCCUUUCUGUUUAGUGAGGAAUAGGAUGUUUACACAGUUCCCGAGUACCUCGCAGUCCUCAGCUGAUGAGAGCACUGGCCGCUGCGGUUGGCCGCGCAAGGUCACGACCGCCUCCCACCAGGGGUGGCCCAAGGCUGGGGUACAAGGCCCAUCUCCCCCUUUUAACUGAUGAAUCAUGUGUUUGAUUACAUUUCUGAGGAUAUAUUCAAAAGGAUGGAGAGCAGGGUCUCCAGGGGGUGCUUUGCACUCACUUUCACAGCAGUGCGAGUCACCUCAGCCAAAAGGAGGAAACAUCCAGGUGUCCCUCUCGGGCCCCCUGGGCCGGCUUCGUGGGCAGGGGACCCGGAAGAUUUUCCGUCUUGAAAGCCUCUUGAUUUUGUAACAAAGGCCCUGCGUUUUCACUUUGCACCGGGCCCUCCUGGCUAGACAGGCCGUGGUAGCGGGGCGCCGCUCCCUGCCUGAGUUUCCCUGCUGGAACCAGGAUGCGGAGAGGACCCCACUGAAGGAUGCGCGUUCCGGCCAAAGGUGGGCAGGUGGGCGGGCGGGCGGAGAGCGGGCGAGCGCCAUCUGCCGGCCUCCGGGGGCACGACGGCCAGAUGGGCCAUCAGCGUCGGGGGAGAUCCCUCCCCACACCCACCUCCGGAAUCCCACUCCCCUCCUAUGCCUCUACCUGGGAUCAGCACAGCGUCUCCCGACUGGACCCUCACAGUUCCCUCCUCGCUGAUCCCCCGUCCCCACAGUCUGUCCUCCCCGCAGCAGCCACCAGAGGGCGCCUGCGAGCACCUGAGUCAAAUCUCGUCCUCUUCUGCCUACAGCCCUCCAGGGCUCUCUCCUCCCUGGGGUAAGUGCUCCCCACGGUCCACAAGGCCCUGUACUACCUGCUCUGUCCCCUCCGUGCCCUCCCCUCUUCCCUCUCUCCCCCUCACUCACUGCUGCAGCCACACGGGCCUCCUUGCUGUUCCUCCAACACGCCAGGCAUGGUCCUGUCCCAGGGCGUUCGCACCGGCUGUUUCCUCUGCCUGGAAAGCCUUUCCCUCAGAUCACGGCAUGGCCUGUUCCCUUCACGUCUUCCAGGAUCCUACUCAUAUGCCACCUUCUCAGAAAGGCCUUUCCUGAACAGCCUGUCUGAAGUGGCCACUACUGCUCUCAUGUCUCGUCCCUGCUCAGUAUUUCUUCAUGACUGAGUCAUGGUGAUAGAGUGUCUCCCCCUCCUCCUUAUCUGCAGCGCUUAGGACCGCACUUGGCCCACACAGGGCCUUCAAGGCAUUUCCAUCCCACUGAUGAGUUCACAGGAGCCAAGAGGUGAAAACAACCCAAGUGUCCGCCUACAGAUGUGGAGUAUCCACAGUGGAGUAUCACUCAGCCAGAUGGAAGGCGCUUCGGGCACCUGCUACAGCGUGGAUGGAACUUGAGGGCGUGAUACUCACAGGAGGUCCCUGGAGGAGUCACACCCACAGCGACAGAGUAGACGGUGGGGCCGGGGCUGGGGGAGGGGCUGGGAGUGAGUGUCUCAUGGGACAGUUUCUGAGGUGAUGAAAGGGUUUUGGAGAAGACAGUGCACGACAGAAACAGUCGCACAGCAUUGUGAGUGAAGGCAACGUCACUGAAUUGUACAGUUAAAAAUGGUUAAGAUGGUAGAUUGUAUGUUGUGUGUACUUACACUUUAAAAAUAAAUUUUUAAGGA